RNAcentral lists this ribosomal RNA (497 nucleotides) under marine sediment bacterium BB0608_2216_1.1_2S0. RNAcentral's name for it is "bacterial SSU rRNA". It matches the Rfam family "Bacterial small subunit ribosomal RNA", at positions 79 to 573 of the family's 1533-position model. The record is from RNAcentral.
GCUAGGAGGCGUCGAGCGGCGGACGGGUGAGUAAUGCAUAGGAAUCUGCCCGGUAGUGGGGGAUAACCUGGGGAAACCCAGGCUAAUACCGCAUACGCCCUACGGGGGAAAGCAGGGGAUCUUCGGACCUUGCGCUAUCGGAUGAGCCUAUGUCGGAUUAGCUUGUUGGUGAGGUAAUGGCUCACCAAGGCGACGAUCCGUAGCUGGUCUGAGAGGAUGAUCAGCCACAUCGGGACUGAGACACGGCCCGAACUCCUACGGGAGGCAGCAGUGGGGAAUAUUGGACAAUGGGCGAAAGCCUGAUCCAGCCAUGCCGCGUGUGUGAAGAAGGCUUUCGGGUUGUAAAGCACUUUCAGUGAGGAAGAACGCCUUCGGGUUAAUACCCCGGAGGGAAGACAUCACUCACAGAAGAAGCACCGGCUAACUCCGUGCCAGCAGCCGCGGUAAUACGGAGGGUGCGAGCGUUAAUCGGAAUUACUGGGCGUAAAGCGCGCGUA